Long non-coding RNA from Pristis pectinata (smalltooth sawfish), 464 nucleotides. RefSeq lists it as uncharacterized. The record is from RefSeq and is a predicted model, not a curated record. Lineage: Eukaryota; Metazoa; Chordata; Chondrichthyes; Rhinopristiformes; Pristidae. The transcript is spliced from 3 exons.
UCAGCCAGCAUAAUCUGUUGACCUUAAAUGUAGAGAAUGGAUCCCGACAAGCUCAGGAUGUUACUUUCAGUUGUACAAUGGAGCAAUUGCAGGAUCUUUUGGGGAAGUUGAAGGACGCGGCUAAAAGCAUGGAGAAGGCGAGUCAGAUGUAAUUGAUGGAGCUGUGAGGACCGCGAUUGAACUCCAAGCUGUGGGUGGCAUUAAAUGAAUCCGCCAAAACCUGCGCGCUUCCAGAUCGAGUGCAAGCAAAUUGAACAGCGAAACCAUAAAUAGUUCAAACUUUGCAUUCGACGAAAUGUAUAAAAUUCCGUCGUCUACGUAAUAUGAAUAAAAAAAACUCGUGACGAUGAAGACUUUUGCUCUAUCAGACUUGUAUAUUUUUAGAGUGACCAACAUUUUGUACUUUAGCUCGCGUUCAGCUGUAAAUACUACACUUUUCCUAAAUAAAGAUUCUUAUGACCUGA